This 762-nucleotide ribosomal RNA is filed under the name uncultured delta proteobacterium. RNAcentral's name for it is "bacterial SSU rRNA". It matches the Rfam family "Bacterial small subunit ribosomal RNA", at positions 58 to 803 of the family's 1533-position model. The record is from RNAcentral. Lineage: Bacteria; Deltaproteobacteria.
CAAGUCGAGCGAGAAAGUGGCUUCGGCCAUCAGUAAAGCGGCGGACGGGUGAGUAACACGUAGGUAAUCUUCCCUUGAGCGGGGGACAACGAGCCGAAAGGCUCGCUAAUACCGCAUAAGUUCGGAGAGACUCCGGUCUUUCCGAGGAAAGCUAGGUAGCAAUAUCCGGCACUCGAGGAGGAGCCUGCGUCGCAUCAGCUAGUUGGUGGGGUAACGGCCUACCAAGGCGAAGACGCGUAGCUGGUCUGAGAGGAUGAUCAGCCACACUGAAACUGAGACACGGUUCAGACUCCUACGGGAGGCAGCAGUGGGGAAUAUUGGACAAUGGGCGCAAGCCUGAUCCAGCCACGCCGCGUGAGUGAUGAAGGCCUUCGGGUCGUAAAGCUCUGUGGGGAGGGACGAACCGCCGUUGGUUAAUACCCAGCGGCAUGACGGUACCUCCUUAGCAAGCACCGGCUAACUUCGUGCCAGCAGCCGCGGUAAUACGAAGGGUGCAAACGUUGCUCGGAAUUAUUGGGCGUAAAGCGCACGUAGGCGGCUUAGCAAGUUGGAUGUGAAAUCCCUCGGCUCAACCAAGGAAGUGCAUCCAAAACUGCUGAGCUUGAGUACUUAAGAGGAUCGCGGAAUUCCCGGUGUAGAGGUGAAAUUCGUAGAUAUCGGGAGGAACACCAGUGGCGAAGGCGGCGAUCUGGGAAGAUACUGACGCUGAGGUGCGAAAGCGUGGGAGCAAACAAGAUUAGAUACCCUGGUAGUCCACGCCGU